UAGGGAAUCUUGGACAAUAGGCGAAAGCCUGAUCCAGCAAUGCCGCGUGCACGAUGAAGGUCUUCGGAUUGUAAAGUGCUUUUAGAAGGGAGGAGUAAGGACAGUACCUUCUGAAUAAGCCUCGGCGAACUACGUGCCAGCAGCCGCGGUAAGACGUAGGAGGCAAGCGUUAUCCGGAUUUAUUGGGCGUAAAGCGCGUGCAGGCGGUUUGGUAAGUUGGAUGUGAAAUCUCUUGGCUUAACCGGGAGAGGUCGUUCAAAACUGCCAGACUAGAGAGUGGUAGAGGAAGGUGGAAUUUCGGGUGUAGUGGUGAAAUGCGUAGAUAUCCGGAGGAACACCAGUGGCGAAAGCGGCCUUCUGGACCAUUUCUGACGCUAAGAUGCGAAAGCUAGGGUAGUAAACGGG
This 405-nucleotide ribosomal RNA is filed under the name uncultured bacterium. RNAcentral's name for it is "bacterial SSU rRNA". It matches the Rfam family "Bacterial small subunit ribosomal RNA", at positions 355 to 776 of the family's 1533-position model. The record is from RNAcentral.